RNAcentral lists this ribosomal RNA (407 nucleotides) under beta proteobacterium enrichment culture clone LiUU-16-745. RNAcentral's name for it is "bacterial SSU rRNA". It matches the Rfam family "Bacterial small subunit ribosomal RNA", at positions 509 to 916 of the family's 1533-position model. Lineage: Bacteria; Pseudomonadati; Pseudomonadota; Betaproteobacteria. The record is from RNAcentral.
CAGCCGCCGCGGUAAUACGUAGGGUGCAAGCGUUAAUCGGAAUUACUGGGCGUAAAGCGUGCGCAGGCGGUUAUGUAAGACAGGCGUGAAAUCCCCGGGCUUAACCUGGGAAUUGCGCUUGUGACUGCAUAGCUAGAGUAUGUCAGAGGGGGGUAGAAUUCCUCGUGUAGCAGUGAAAUGCGUAGAGAUGUGGAGGAAUACCAAUGGCGAAGGCAGCCCCCUGGGAUAAUACUGACGCUCAUGCACGAAAGCGUGGGGAGCAAACAGGAUUAGAUACCCUGGUAGUCCACGCCCUAAACGAUGCUGACUAGUUGUUCGGGAAUUUAUUCCUGAGUAACGUAGCUAACGCGUGAAGUCAGCCGCCUGGGGAGUACGGUCGCAAGAUUAAAACUUAAAUGAAUUGACGG